Molecule: ribosomal RNA, 497 nt
Filed under: uncultured bacterium
Lineage: Bacteria
Description: partial 16S ribosomal RNA
Rfam family: Bacterial small subunit ribosomal RNA
Source: RNAcentral
GAUGAACGCUGGCGGCGUGCCUAAUACAUGCAAGUCGAGCGAACAGACGAGGAUCUUGCUCCUCUGACGUUAGCGGCGGACGGGUGAGUAACACGUGGAUAACCUACCUAUAAGACUGGGAUAACUUCGGGAAACCGGAGCUAAUACCGGAUAAUAUAUUGAACCGCAUGGUUCAAUAGUGAAAGACGGUUUUGCUGUCACUUAUAGAUGGAUCCGUGCCGCAUUAGCUAGUUGGUAAGGUAACGGCUUACCAAGGCGACGAUGCGUAGCCGACCUGAGAGGGUGAUCGGCCACACUGGAACUGAGACACGGCCCAGACUCCUACGGGAGGCAGCAGUAGGGAAUCUUCCGCAAUGGGCGAAAGCCUGACGGAGCAACGCCGCGUGAGUGAUGAAGGUCUUCGGAUCGUAAAACUCUGUUAUUAGGGAAGAACAAAUGUGUACGUAAAUAUGCACGUGUUGACGGUACCUAAUCAGAAAGCCACGGCUAACUACGUG